GAUGGAUCCCUUGGCAUUAAAAUUAAGGACAGCCUUGCUGUAUUCCUGAGUAGUUCUCCAACUUACGAAGGGGUUUCCUUUAGAGUAAACUCAUUUACGUGUUUAAUUUGCAGGUUAUGGUAAAUACGUAAAUGGCACAAGAUUAAGUUCUUGUGCCUAAAUUUAGCGAACUGAAACAUCUUAUUAGCUAAAAUUUUUAAUCAAAAGAGGUGGCCGUUAGUAGUGGCGAGCGAACGCGGUCUAUUUGUGCCUUAAAUAGAGAACAAAUCCAAAGAAGGUGAAAGUCCUGUAUUCUAUAUUUUGGUACUACGUUAAGUAUUAGUAGGGUAGAAAAAGAUAUUUCUGCCUGAAUGUUGGGGUACCAUCCUCAAACUUAAAUAAACUUUUAAUGACCGAUAGUGAAAAGUACCGUGAGGGAAAGGUUGAAAAGAGAUUCUUUGUAACAGUGAAAUAGAUCAGUGAAAUCUUUGUUGAAACCCUGUUUUUAAAAAAACGUACCUUUUGUAUAAUGGUCCAGCGAGUUUUUGUUUGAAGCAAGCUUAAAAAUUUAUUUUGGAGGCGUAGCGAAAGCGAGUUUUAAAAUGCGUCAGUUUCAAGCUUAAGAUCCGAAACGAAGUGAUCUAACUAAAGCCAGGUUGAAUGAAAUCGAUUCGAUUUCAGGAAGACUCAAUUCGUCUCUGUUGCAAUAGGGUGAAGUGAGCUUUUGUUAGCGGUGAAAUGCUAAUCGAACUUCGAGAUAGCUGAUUUUUCGCGAAAUAUAUUUAGGUAUAGCUUUUAGAUUAGAUUACCAAAGGUAAAGCACUUUUUGGGAUUCUGGGGGGAUUAUAUCCUUACUGGGCCCUUGAAAACUCUGAAUGUUGGUUUAUUAAUUUCUAAAAAGUCAGACUCUGGGUGCUAAGGUCCUGGGUCAAGAGGGAAACAGCCCUGACCGAAGAUUAAAGUAUCAAAUAUUCUAUAAGUGAAAAGGGGUUACGCGAUUUUUGACAGCAAGAAGGUAGGCUUGGAAGCAGCCAUCCUUUAAAGAAAUCGUAACAGAUCACUUGCUUAUUACAGAUCCGUGAUGUCGAAAAUUUAUCGAUUCUUUUGGAAUAACUGAAAUCGCGGUAAUAACUGAUAUAUUAGGUAGCGAAACGUUCUGUAAGUCUAUGAAGGCUUAUUGUUAAAUAAGUUGGAGAUAUCAGAAUUGAUUAUGCUGGAAUGAGUAACGAAAUACUAAGUGAAGAAGCUUAGUCGCUGAAAACCCAAGGUUUUCUUCGAAAGUAAUUUUGCGAAGAAAUAAUCGAUCCCUUAUUUAAUUGGCUGAAAAGUCUUAAAGAUGGGUUACUUGCUUACGUGACAGAUUUUCUUAUUUGUGAUUCAAUAUUGCUUAUUUGAUUUUUUCGGGAAAUAGCGUAAGCCAAGACUCUAUAAGAUAGGUCUUGUGAAUCUUAUAGAUUCGAUCGUACUUAAAACCGACACUGGUGGGUUGGUAGUUAAUCUACUAAAGCGCUCGAGAUAACAACUUAAAAGGAACUCGGCAAAAUUACCCUGUAACUUCGGGAGAAGGGGUGCUUUUUAAGGAGACCCUUAAAAAGUGGCACGAAACUGGGGUGGGGGACUGGUUAACAAAACCACAGGACACUGCAAACUUAUUAUAUUAUGUAUAGUGUCUGAUGUCUGUCCGGUGCGUUUUUGCAAAAAAGGGGUUGUCCUGGCUUCCUCUUCAAGUAAACGUAAACGACAGCAGUAACUCUAACUGUUUGAAAGUAGCGAAAUUCCUUGGCUUUUAAUUGAAGUCCUGCAUGAAUGACAUAACUACCCACCUACUGUCUCUUAAGUUGACUCGGUGAAAUUGAAUUUCAAGUGAAGAUGCUUGAAUAGUCUUGGUGGACAAGAAGACCCUAUGCCGCUUUACUGAAGCCUGUUAUGAAUAUUUUUAAGUUUAUGUGUAGAAUAGGUGGUAGCCUCGGCACAAUAUGAAAUACCACCCUUAAGCUUAUUCGUAUUUCAACGAUAACUUAUUAUCGGAAAGUUUCAGGUUGUUAGUUUUCCUGGGGUGGGAGACUCCCAAAAAGUAACGGAGUUGCGCAUAAGGUAAGCUUGGGUUUUCCCUUAAGUGUAAUGGCAUAAGCUUGCUUGACUGCAAGAUUUACAAAUCGAGCAGAAACUUAUUGUUGGCCAUAAUGACCCGAUAGUCCUGUAUGGAAAGGCUAUCGAUUAACGGAUAAAAGUCACGCUAGGGAUAACAGGCUGCUCGCUUCUAAGAGCACUUAUCGAUGAAGCGGUUGGGCACCUCGAUGUUGACUUAGGUUAUCCUGAGGCUGUAUAAGGUCUCAAGGGUGCGACUGUUCGUCGCUUAAAAACCUACAUGAGUUGAGUUCAGAACGUUGUGAAACAGUUCGGUUUAUAUCCCCAAGACUUGUUAAAUUUGAGAGAUCUUAAUUCUAGUACGAGAGGACCGAAGAGACUCUGCCUAUAGUUUGGGAGUUGUUUAAAAAAGCACCGCUUCUAAGCCACGCAGGGAAGAUAGAACUGCUGAAAGCAUCUAAAGCGGGAAAUAUAUCUCAAAAUAAAUUUACACUUUACUCUGUGUUAUAAUAGCACUUUGAUAGGUCCUU
This 2597-nucleotide ribosomal RNA is filed under the name Pavlova sp. CCMP459. Its description in RNAcentral is "partial Bacterial large subunit ribosomal RNA". It matches the Rfam family "Bacterial large subunit ribosomal RNA". The record is from RNAcentral. Lineage: Eukaryota; Haptophyta; Pavlovophyceae; Pavlovales; Pavlovaceae.